UCGGCCAGCGCCGCGCCAGCACCACCUGCGGAGCUGCGGCGCCCACGCCGCGCCACGACCCCGCCGCCCCCCUCUCCCGCCACACGCGCGCGCAAACAAAACAAGUUGCCGGGCGCCGCCACCGGAGGGGGCCGGGCGGGUCACUCACCCUCAUCCUGCUCAGCGGGCUCGGGUCGUCCUGCCGUGCGGAGAGGGAAGACCAGAGGACCACGAGCCCCAGGAAGCUUCCCACCACCAGCAAACUGCGCCUGUGCCCUCCAGGAUGCCGCGGCUCCCGUCUGCAAGUCCCCUCCUGACACCCGCUGCCCGAGACCCCGCCGACAGGCUUGCAGGAAGCAAACCAGGAAGUCAGGGCUGCCGCCGCCGCCGCCGCCGCCGCCGCAGUAGCUCCACGUGGCUGAUACAUAGCUGGAAGGAUUUUUUAUUAUUAUUGAUCCUGUUUUUCGCACUGUUCCUUAGGGAGGUGGAUUUGUAACGGAAAGGCCCAGGUGAGAUGUGCAAAUAUUAGUGGACUAGAGGAGCUCACUUGGGAAGCCCGUUGCCCUUUCUCUUGAGGUAUUCAGAAAAAAGCCAGUGCCUCAUGCUAAUAGGCAGUAUGAUUCUUGUUCGUGAACUGAUACGUUUCUACUCAGAGGAACUGGGAUUUCGGCUUGUUACUCACUCCCCCAUCCUUUCUACCCUCAGACCUGAUUUUUUCCUACUUUCAGGAGAUUGCUCUUCUUCUUGUGAGAUCUCACUUGGGAAAGGAUGUGCCAAAUGCUUGACCAGGUGCCCCUCCCCCCAAUAUUGUGCCCAUUACCUCCUAACAAAGAGUGUGUGUACUUACAUUACCAUAUUCUAAACUAAGUUAAACAGAAUGUUUACAGUUUUAUUCUAAGUUUUAGGAUGGUCAAGUUUUUCCCAGUAUUGCAUCAUAUUGGCAAGUUUUUUACUUUAAAGCAGUUAAAACCUGGUUAUUUAAAUCCACCUGAGUAAUGAAAGCUUACAUUUGUGCACUGAUAUUCACAGUCAGAAGAGGCAGGUUUUCAUUAUUAGGAAUAUAGGAAGCUUAAUUUUUACUGUUAUGAGCAUAGCUGGGGGAGGUAUGCAAAUGGAGGGUGGUUCUUAACCCUAAAGUGAUGGGAGUGGUUUUUUGGUAGAAUAUUCAGAGACGAUUCGGCCACCCUCCCCCACCUUUAGUUUUGCACACAGAACCUUGAAAUAUGUGUAAGAGGCCACAACAUUAGAAAUUAAUGGAUGAGUAUGUAUUUGUAAAAGCAUGUUUCUCUGAAUUCUAGUAAUGUUUAAAAGAAACUGAAAGUAUAUCUUAAAAUGUGCCUUUUGCAAUAUUAGCAUGGUGGCAGCCUUUGUAGAGUUGACAGAACUCUUUAGAAAAUAAGAUGCUAUGUUUAAAGUUUGGAUCAGGGCAACUGACACGUAAGCUGUCUGAACUAGGGCUGUCAUCUGCCAAAUAGUGAUUAUAGCACUUAACAGUAUUAUCAAAAGAAAUAAUUGAGGCCAGGUACAUAUAUGCAAAUAUAAAGUACAGAUGGUGUGAUGGACUAAGUCUCCAUGUGUAUGGAUAUAAUUCUUGUUUUAUGAAUGCUAUAGCUACUAUUGUAUGACAGGGAUUGUUAGGCAGGGAUCCUUCUGAUAUGUCUAACCUAGGAUAGUGUUCACUGAGGAAGAGAGUAGAGACUAGAACCUAGUGGGAGGGACAUAGGAGAUGGCCAAGAGAAGUGCACUGGAUGCCACCAGAUAUGGAGUCACAUAUGACAUGGGGCUUUCAGUUCAGAGGCCACCACAGCCUUGAAAGCAAGGUAGCCAGGAGAGAGGAAAUUUUCUGACCACCUAGCAUGUACAAGGUGCUUAACAUUUAUUUCAUCUAACCUCAGUUGUUGCCACUGCAUAUGUAAUCUUUUUGAUGAUAAUCACCUGAUAUUAUCUGUUGUAUAAGUAAACAUUCUCAGAUACGAUGCAAACCCUCAAAGCCUAUGUGUUCCUUUUUUUGGAAUUCUUCCCGAUGUCAACUCUGCUGAAAAGGAAUUGUGCCCAUCUUUGGGCUGCAUUUCCCUGGGGUUCUCACCAUGCCUGCCUUCAGUAUGUGGCAGCCAACCUGAACAUCUGAGCUUCCAAAUGUAACUCGCCUGCCUUUGGCCCUUCGUCAGGGAGUUCUUUUUGCCUGAAGUAUCUUGUGACACCUUAACAUUAAACUUAGAUGUCAGCUACAAAAAGUUUUUUCUGAAUUCUCUCCCAUAUCCCUUCCCACUCCAGUACUGGGAUAGGUACCACGCCUGGUACUUCACUGCACCCUCUACUUUUCCUUCCCUGAUAAUUACUACUGUGUUGUAAUUGCUUGAUUUUUUUGGACCCCAAGAGGCUGGAGACUUCCCUAUCUAGUUUAUUACUCUAUGUCUGGGUUGUAGAAAAGGCUCAAUAUUUUUUGAUGGAAUGCCGAGUGAAUAAUUGCAUCAAGACUACAAAGAGAAGAUAAAACUUAAAAAGAAGUCAGUGCUGCUUCAACUGCUAUUCUUGCCUACCUGUUUAUCUGAAUGUCCUUCAAAGGAUAACACUGUAGGUUUCAUUUAAUUACACAGGUCUUGUUUCCCUGUUAUAUCCUACAAGGCUACUCAGAACUAAGAAUCUGAUAGCUUUAAUUUAAAUUCAUAUUCUUGUAUUGAGAUUUUUUUUUUUACUAAAAUGAGAAUGUACAGUCAUAGCCAAUUGCAAUUUGUAGACAGAUUUCAAUUUUAACAAUGUCUGAUUGCCAAGUUAACAUUAGAAUCAGCAACUUACAAAUUACUGUUCGAUAUCCUAUUACCCAUUCUGUAAACCAUUUAAUCAUCUCUUUUCAAAGAAGACCACUAGUUGUAGCCUAAAGUCAAGAUGUAUUUUACUGUUUUGAAAAUAAUUAUGUAGACAUCAACAAAUGUAGUGUGUCAGUAUAUCGUGUCAUGUUUUUUCUCUUACUGCGUGACAAAUUACACCAAAAUGUAGCACUUUGAAACAACAAACCUAUGUUAUUUCACACAGUUUGAGGGUCAGGAAUGGAGGAGUUGCAUUUCUGGCUAAAGGUUUCUCAUGAGAUUCUUCCCAGGCUUUCAUUAGGGCUAUAGUCAUCUCAUUGUAGCUCAGCGGGGCCUGGAGAAUUUGUUUCCUAAGUUAUUCACAUUACCAACAAGAAGCCCUCAGUUUCUCCUUGGUGGUUGGUGGAAUACUUCAAUUCCUAAUCACACAGCCUUCUCCAUAGGCCCAUAAAGAUAGGCAGCAGAGUGAGUCCAUCAUCAGGAUAGUCUUAGUCAGCAGGCUGACUUCUUCCUGUGUGAAAGAUUGAAGGGAAGAGGGAAGGAGAGCUCAAACCCACAGAUCAGUACAGUAUUGGGGAGUGAGGGGACUACACAAGGAUGUGAAUACUAACAAUCAGGGACAAUUGGAAGCUGUUUUGGAGGCCAAUAAACUCAAUUAUUAAGCAUCUGGGUAGAAAUGCUUGUUUUUCAUUUAUUGUGAAAAGUCAGUUAAUGUUAUGAUUAACACCAAAAUCCUGACAAAAGAAUCCAGAUCUUAAAUAAUUGCUUAUUUCUGAUUGUCUUGUAAAGAAGUAACAUGUCUUCAUCUAUAAAAAGAUGUUAAGGCAAAUGAUCUUUAACAUCCCUUCCAUUACUGAAAUCUUGAGGUUGAUCUAUGAUGUUAAUAUAUGAUUAAGACUUUAAAGUUGUAUUCUCAUGUAAAAUACUAUGAAGUCAAACUCUGUCUUUGUACUUUUUUUUUCCUGACAUAGAUUACUAUUUCCAUCAUAAGCUUAAUGGAUAAUUCUGUACUCAUCUAGAAUAAAAGACUGUUGUCAAGGGCUUCCAUUUGAUGAGGCUAAUGGUCUCCUACAGUGUUUUGAAGGCAAAAAUGCUUAUUUAAAAGCUCUCUUAGAUUUCACACUGUAGAACAUGACCUCUUCAUAAUUCAGCACUGUUUUUGGACCCCCAUAAUUCAGAGUGCUCUUCUGAUUUAACCGUUUACUUAAGAGGUGAUUGAAACAUUUUUAUCUCUUACCACUCUUGCUUGAAACCUCUUCAACAGCUUUCCCUUGCUGUUAGAAUCAAGCCCAAACUCCUCCAUUUGUAUUACAAAGGCUUGUGAGCUUGUCUCUGCUCAUCUCCAAGCCUCUUAGCUGGUCGAUUUUCUCCUCUUUUCAAACUUAGGCUAGAGCCUGUUUAUUUCUCUUCUUUCCUGGACCAGGUCAAGUUCUUUCUCACUUACAGACCUUCCCUGUGAUACUUGAUAGUUUCUACACCAACACUUUCCCUCCAAACUCCUAACAAUUCUUCAAAUUUCAAUUUAUACACCAAUUAUUUCAGAAAUCUUUGACUCUCUUCAAUUCCCAACCACUUGCCAGGUUGGGAGUCCCUGAUUCAUGCUGUCAGAGCAUCUUGUAAGUUUUCUCUCAGAGCAUAGAGACUCCUACUUUGUAAUUCUUUGUUCAGUCGUCACCUCCAUUAGACAAGUUUCUUAAAGGCAAGGACCAUGUUCUCAUUUGGCAUUGUAGUCCCAGGAUGCUGACAGUGCCUGCUCAGUACUUGAAAGAGUGACUAGGUGAAAGUAUAUUUUAUGUGCUAACUGGUUUAAACAGAGAAGCUGAGAAGCAUUCUUUUAAUAAUUAAGAUUUAAACUGGGUGUGGUGGCCCAUACCUGUAAUCCCAGCAACUCAGAGGCUAAGGCAGAAAGAUUGCAGUUUAGUGAGAUUGUCUCUUAAAAAGCCUGAAGAUGUCAGUGGUACAGCAUUUGACUGGCAUGCACAAUGCUCUGGGUUUAAUCUCUAGUAACAUGUAAAAAGAAAAAGGCAUAUCUUAAUGUUUUAUAGAAAUAUUUUACAGACAAUAAGUGGGUUUUUUUACCCUUAUGUAAGGGCUGGGAAAGGAGUGCACUGUUCAACAGCUUAUCUGAUCAAGAUGAGGACAGUAAUUCCUAAAUAAUACACGGAUAGCUGUUCCAAAGUGUCUACUCACUGAAGGGAUUAUGCAUUGCCCAGAACUGCAUGGUCUUUAAUGUGAGAACCAGUUACCUACAUGACAAAUUAGCCUGUUUCUUGUUAUAUUAAUAAUCUCUUCAACCAUAGCAUUGAGGAAAGAGUGGAAUGGAAAGAGUUUCCUCAAUAAAGGGUCAGAGAACCUACCUUGUCACACAUAAAAUGGGAGAUGUGGCUAGACUCAAAUUUGCCUUCACAAAUUCACAGAAGAAAGACUCAAGUUCUAAGCAGAAUGGUUAAAUGAUCAGAAAGUCUUCAAAACUGAAAUUUGGACUACAGUUGUGCAUCUAAACCUCUCCAUUACGUUUUGUGCAUAUAAACUUCUGCAUCAGUGGGCAGACAGUUUCAAACAGCUGUCGGUUUAUCAUCACAUCCUCCAAAGAUCUUGUUUACCAGCUAUGCCUAGACCCUCACAGUCUAACAUGAGAAUCUCUAAUACCUACUAGACACACUAACCUCUGCCUUGAUAAUACUCAAAAUCUCUUAGAACAUAACUUUUGUGCAGUGGGUGGAAUGGAAAGAAACUAUGUCAGUUAAAGGGCCAGAGAGAAACAGAUAUGGCUAGACACAUUGAGCAUUACUGGAAAAACAAGACCUCUGGAGGGAAAUGAAGAUGUUAGGCCUAGAGAAAGGAAACAAAGGGAAAGCGGCAGUCUUGUGCUUGUCCAAGGUGAGAUCUAGACCCUAUAAGGCAUGAUGGGAAGAACAAAGAAGUAGUCAUCUUCUGGAGGUUUUUGAUGAGCUUAAAUAAGAUUGGGUUAUUAUGUAGUAGUGAACUAUUCCUACCAGCCUUUUUAGACAUUUCAGGGGAGAUAAAGUUGAAUACAAAUAAAUCUAGAGACAGAUUACAGGGAGAUUAUGCAGAGGAUAUUCCAAAUAAUCCAUGAAUUAGAGGGUGAACAGGAACUAGUUAUCUGUCAAUUCCAAACCUUUUUGUUUUCUAUCUAUGCUAUACCGCAUCUUGCUGAUGUUGGAAAUACAUUUUGUUCUUUAGUUACUUUCUAGAAAACUGAACAGCGAAUAAGUGCAUUUUCUCUUUUAUUUGAAUAUAUGGCUCUAGAUUAAAUGACUAUUUGGAGAGCCACACCAGGGAGUUGGAAGCCAAGAGUGCUGAUCUUCAGGGAAGUUCAAAAUACUGUCAUUUAGAUAAAUGUACCUUUUGGCAUAUUGCACAGUUUUGAAAUUUGAAUUUUAAUUACAUUUCUUUUUGGAGAGUGAUCUUUGAGGACUUUGUCUUUUGGGAUAACUUCCAUUUCUCAAACCAUAUAAAAUUGUUUUUAACAAAUUGAAUUCUGUUCUGUGAUAUUUUAUUGUGUACUUACGGACAUUUCUAUUUAUUUAACACGUUUUUUUGAGCAUGUCUCACGGGCUAGCCAUUGUUCUAGAUACUGAGUAUAUGGCCGUAAACUAAAAGAGUAAAACUCCCUGUAUUCAUGGAGUCAGACAAUAAACCAAAUAUGUAAAUUAUUGUAUAUUUACUAAUGAAUAAACUAGUAUAUCAC
Non-coding RNA from Heterocephalus glaber (naked mole-rat), 6498 nucleotides. The record is from RefSeq and is a predicted model, not a curated record. NCBI's taxonomy places the organism in Eukaryota, Metazoa, Chordata, Mammalia, Rodentia, Bathyergidae.